RNAcentral lists this ribosomal RNA (641 nucleotides) under Vibrio sp. TD9. RNAcentral's name for it is "bacterial SSU rRNA". It matches the Rfam family "Bacterial small subunit ribosomal RNA", at positions 42 to 646 of the family's 1533-position model. The record is from RNAcentral. Lineage: Bacteria; Pseudomonadati; Pseudomonadota; Gammaproteobacteria; Vibrionales; Vibrionaceae.
GCAGGCCUAACACAUGCAAGUCGAGCGGAAACGACUUAACUGAACCUUCGGGGGACGUUAAGGGCGUACAGCGGCGGACGGGUGAGUAAUGCCUGGGAAUAUGCCUGUGAGUUGUGGGGGAUAACUAUUGGAAACGAUAGCUAAUACCGCAUAAUGUCUUCAGGACCAAAGAGGGGGACCUUCGGGCCUCUACGCGCUAAGAUUAGCACCAGGUGAGAUUAGCUAGGUUGGUGAGGUAAGAGCUCAACCAAAGGCGACGAUCUCUAGCNUGGUCUGAGAGGAUGAUCAGCCACACUAGGAACUGAGACACGGUCCAGACUCCUACGGGAGGCAGCAUUGGGGAAUAUGGCACAAUGGGCGAAAGCCUGAUGCAGCCAUGCCGCGAUGUAUGAAGAAGGCCUUCGGGUUGUAAAGUACUUAUCGAGUAGGGGAGGAAGGUGUANGUAGUUAAUAGCUGCAUCAUUUGACGUUACCUACAGAAGAAGCACCGGCUAACUCCGUGCCAGCAGCCGCGGUAAUACAGAGGGUGCGAGCGUUAAUCGGAAUUACUGGGCGUAAAGCGCAUGCUGGUGGUUCAUGUAGUCAGAUGUGACAGCCCGGGGCUCAACCUCGGAACCGCGUUUGACUCUGGUGAACUAGAA